AUACGUAGGGAGCGAGCGUUGUCCGGAAUUACUGGGCGUAAAGGGCGCGUAGGCGGCGCUUCAAGUCGUCUGUCAAAUGGGAGGGCUUAACCCUUUUUCGCAGACGAAACUGGAGAGCUUGAGAAGCAGAGAGGCAAACAGAAUUCCUGGUGUAGCGGUGAAAUGCGUAGAUAUCAGGAAGAAUACCAGUGGCGAAGGCGGUUUGCUGGCUGCAUACUGACGCUGAAGCGCGAAAGCCAGGGGAGCAAACGGGAUUAGAUACCCCGGUAGUCCUGGCAGUAAACGAUGAAUGCUGGGUGUGAGACUAGCGAUAGUUUCGUGCCGAAGUUAACGCGAUAAGCAUACCGCCUGGGGAGUACGGUCGCAAGAUUGAAACUCAAAUGAAUUGACGGGG
RNAcentral lists this ribosomal RNA (394 nucleotides) under uncultured bacterium. RNAcentral's name for it is "partial 16S ribosomal RNA". It matches the Rfam family "Bacterial small subunit ribosomal RNA", at positions 523 to 918 of the family's 1533-position model. The record is from RNAcentral.